RNAcentral lists this long non-coding RNA (10905 nucleotides) under Nicotiana benthamiana. RNAcentral's name for it is "long non-coding RNA (NBEN_LNC015893)". Lineage: Eukaryota; Viridiplantae; Streptophyta; Magnoliopsida; Solanales; Solanaceae. The record is from RNAcentral.
AAUUAUCUCAGCUAAACUUCCAAAAUACCUGAAUAUGCACACAUGGUACAGGGAUUAAAGUGCGUACUUCUUACUCAGUGGUAAUAAGAGAGAAUAAUAUCCGAGCGAUAAGAAAACACAUAUGGGCACACUAAAAUGCUAUAAAAGACAGUACAACCCGUCUCGAAAAUCGAAAUACUGUGAAAAUCCUUUAGAAAAUCUCAAGAUCAAUUCAAAAUCUCUUUUAAAAAGUCUCUGUUACAAAUAUCUUUUUUUUCUUUUUCAACGGCCAAGCAUAUGAAUACUAUAUCAGAUAGAACAAGUCGGCUCAUACGUUUGCCCAUUGGGCACUGCACUCCUUAACAUAUAACACCAGAGUAUCUGGUCAACAAGGCAAGUAACAGUAUGUAUGCCAAAAAUAUAUGGGUGCUAAAUGUCGUUCCACUUAGUACAAACAGGAAUGAAUGCGUGAAUGCAUUGCAAUGCGCAUGACCGCCACGGUGCGUAGCCCGAUCCAUUUGGGUAUCCUGGACUCACUAGGGGUGUGUGCAGGCUCCGGAGGGGCUCCUACAGCCCAAGCGCUAUAAUACUGCAGCAUGCAGUCCGAUCCAUAUAAUAUACUAAUGCGGCGUACAGUCCGAUCCGUAUAAUAUACUACUGCGGCAUACAGUCCGAUCCAUGAAUGUAUAUGUAUAUACUGCUGCGGCGUGCAGCCUGAAUUAUAUCUCAGUCCAGCAAUGCACAUAUGCCCCUUGGGCAAUAGUAAAAUAGCAGUUCUCAGCUCAAAACAUCUGUAAAAUAUCAUUUAAGUUUUGAAAUCUUGGAAAAAUUGCUGAGUUUGCAAAACAGUAUUUAGAACCUUGAACUGUGAUCAAAUAAUAUACAACGUAAUACAAAAUAGUGAUAUCAAACCCAGAAGGAUUCAAUAAUCUGCACGAAGCCCAUAACAUGGCGAUCAGCCCAAAUCAUGAUAGCAUCAAGUAGUUUUCAGUCAGUAUCAAACCCAGAAGGAUUCAAUAAUCGGCACGAAGGCCAUAACAUGGCGAUCAGCCCAAAUCAUGAUAGCAUCAAGUAGUUUUCAGUCAAUCACGCGGUAAAAUCAACAAACGGGACGAACCAAGUUACAAUCCCUAACUGUGCUCUAUCCCACGCUCAUACCUUCACGCAAGUCACCCCAAUACAGCACUAUGAUAUGCAAAUCGGGGCAUUCAAACCCUCAGGAUAUCAUUCCCAAGUAUUACUCACCUCAAACCGGUGAAUUUCCUCGCUCGCGAUGCCUUUGAUCCUCAAAUUGGCCUCCAAGCGUGUCAAAUCUAACCAAAAUCAGUACAAAUAUAUCAUAAUAUACUAAUGGGAUAACACUCAAUGGAAAACAAUCAAAAUAUAACAAAAAUCUUGAAACUAGCAAAACCCGAGCCCUGGGCACGCUUCUCGAAAAAUUACGAAACUUACAUUUCCAGAAUGCUCAUCUCGCCACGAGUUCAUGCGUACCAAGAACUCCCUAUCCGAGCUCAAAUGGCAUAUCAAAUCUCAAUUUGAAAUAUCAAAAAACUCAAGCCCUAGUUUCUUCAAUUAUACCAAAAUUCAGAUAAUUAAUUGAUGAUUCUUCAAUAAAAUCGUGUAUUAAGCUCAUAAAACUACCUCCAAUCAAUUCCCAGUCAAAACUCUUCAAAACUCUCGACAAAAGCUCCCAAGCUCGCUCAAAAAUGGUGGAAAUGAGCUUAGGUCGUGGACCAAAAUGUUUUUAACAUUCUGUCCGGAACAUUGUAGCACCCUCUAUGCGAUCGCAUAGACAAGUCUAUGCGAUCGCAACUUGCGAUCGCAAUGGAAGUGAUGCGAUCGCAUAGAGGGUGCUACAAUGUUCCGGACAGAAUGUUAAAAACAUUUUGGUCCACGACCUAAGCUCAUUUCCACCAUUUUUGAGCGAGCUUGGGAGCUUUUGUCGAGAGUUUUGAAGAGUUUUGACUGGGAAUUGAUUGGAGGUAGUUUUAUGAGCUUAAUACAUGAUUUUAUUGAAAAAUCAUCAAUUAAUUAUCUGAAUUUUGGUAUAAUUGAAGAAACUAGGGCUUGAGUUUUUUGAUAUUUCAACGGCCAAGCAUAUGAAUACUAUAUCAGAUAGAACAAGUCGGCUCAUAAGUCUGCCCAUUGGGCACUGCACUCCUUAACAUAUAACACCAGAGUAUCUGGUCAACAAGGCAAGUAACAGUAUGUAUGCCAAAAAUAUAUGGGUGCUAAAUGUCGUUCCACUUAGUACAAACAGGAAUGAAUGCGUGAAUGCAUUGCAAUGCGCAUGACCGCCACGGUGCGUAGCCCGAUCCAUUUGGGUAUCCUGGACUCACUAGGGGUGUGUGCAGGCUCCGGAGGGGCUCCUACAGCCCAAGCGCUAUAAUACUGCUGCAUGCAGUCCGAUCCAUAUAAUAUACUAAUGCGGCGUACAGUCCGAUCCGUAUAAUAUACUACUGCGACAUACAGUCCGAUCCAUGAAUGUAUAUGUAUAUACUGCUGCGGCGUGCAGCCUGAAUUAUAUCUCAGUCCAGCAAUGCACAUAUGCCCCUUGGGCAAUAGUAAAAUAGCAGUUCUCAGCUCAAAACAUCUGUAAAAUAUCAUUUAAGUUUUGAAAUCUUGGAAAAAUUGCUGAGUUUGCAAAACAGUAUUUAGAACCUUGAACUGUGAUCAAAUAAUAUACAACGUAAUACAAAAUAGUGAUAUCAAACCCAGAAGGAUUCAAUAAUCUGCACGAAGCCCAUAACAUGGCGAUCAGCCCAAAUCAUGAUAGCAUCAAGUAGUUUUCAGUCAAUCACGCGGUAAAAUCAACAAACGGGACGAACCAAGUUACAAUCCCUAAUUGUGCUCUAUCCCACGCUCAUACCUUCAUGCAAGUCACCCCAAAAAUCCAGGCCCUAAAAAAUCUAUUACACGAUCAUAGGAAAUCCCACGCAAUCAAAGAACAUAGCCCAAAGAACUUACGCGAUCGCACUAACCAAAUGCCCAAGCAUACGCGAUCGCAAGCCCCCUUCGUGCCAUCGUAGAGAGAAAAUUCUGAGCCUUCUCCAAUUCAUUCUAUGCGAUCGUAGCAGUAGGCUCGCGAUCGCAAUGAACAAUUUUUCUCUGCAAAAUUUCUGCUGCAUUUUUCCAACUUAAAAAUACCCGUUAGCCAUCCGAAAUCACCCCGAGGCCCUCGGGACCUCAACAAAAAGCACAUAUAUGUUUAAUAAUUUAUUCAAAAUUGAUCGAGCCAUAAAAACAAUAUCAUUAACAUCAAAAUCCUCAAAUAUCAUAAAAUCAAGGCCUAAGUUUUCAUUAAACUUCUGAAACUCACAUUCGAUCAAAAACCCAACCAAACAACGUCCGAAUGACCUGAAAAUUUGCAGACAUAUCCAAAAUUACCUAAAGAAGCUAAUGAACCUCUCGGAAUUCCAUUCUGACCCUCGGAAAUCUCACCUAUCAACCGAAAUCCGCCAAAAUUCAAACUUCGAUAAUUCAAGCCUAAUUCUACACCGGACCUCCAAAGUCAAUUCCAAUCACACUCCUAAGUCACAAAUCAUCCCCCUAAGCUAACCAAAUCACCGAAAUUCACAUCCGAGCCCUCUAACCACAUAGUCAACUUUCGGUUGACUUUUUUAAUACAAAUUUUCUUCUAAGAGGAAGUGGGCCUUAUUUUCAACCCAAAACCAAUUCAAUUACACCCGAUAAACGCUAAUACAAACAUUGAGACAUGAAGAAACACCAUAAGGGAGAAACGGGGUGGUAACUCACAUGACGGCAUGUCAGGUCAUCACAGGUAAUCAAAGUAAGGUAACCGGCUCAAAGUGUUUACGAAGGAUUGAUGGUGUUAGAAUAGCGGGAGUGAAAGCCUUCGUCAUCGCAAAUAUGCAAAGACAUCGCCGGAAUGAUUUUAGACAUAGUACGUUUUUAUUACAUCUACAUUCUCAACUACUUCGGAAUCAUUUUUCGAUGUCACCCAGAUACAAUGCUCCUCUUGGCAAUAUUUCCAAUGGUGUAUGGAUCAUUCUGAUUGGGCGCAAACUUCCUUUUAAUUCCUGGUGGGGAAGAACAAUGCGACUUUACACCAGUUGCCCUAGUUCAAAUUUCAUAGGCGUGGGCCAUUCUUUGUUGGUACAACUGUCCGUGACAAACUGCAGUCAUCUGUUUCAAUUAAGGUCAACGUUCCAUACGAGUCUAGACCCACUCACUGUUCUCAAACUCUGCUUUAGUGACGGACCUUUCCCAAACGACAAACCAAUUGUCCUCUGUUGUUCCGAUUCUUUUCCUUUAUUUUCUCAAAUUUAAAUUCUUUGUAUUUCAAGAUUUGAUUUAUUAUUUCAAAGUAUGAUAGAGUUCUUGGGAUCUGGGCAUGAAGUCCACAAGCAUGUCAUCUUAUUUAAAGCUGCAUUACUAUAGAAAGAGAAAAAAACAUAGCAAGCUCUGAAAAGAUAAAGAAAAUGAACGAUGAAAUAUUGAUUUCAUUUCUUAGAAUUUGGGAAGAUAACAGGAUUGAUAUUCAGGAAUUUAAAGACAGGAAACUAAAGAAAACAUCCGAGCCACACCCUAGGAUGACUCGCGAUGCAGAAAAAGUGGCAGAACAAGUCUACUAGGACUCCCACCUGACCAGGAAUAGUGUAGCCUUCCAGUUUUGAAGCUUGGCGCUUGGUCCCACGUAUGACACCUCAGCAGUGCUGGUGCCCUCUCCCAGCUGAACUAUGUGAGUUUCAUAAAGCAUUUUCCUCGUCGCCCCACGUAUUCCCUUACUCUCUUCAGCCACAAAAACCUCAUCAUCUUCCUCUUCACUGUACUUGGGCUUCUGUAGUAUGCGUCCAAUAACCACUGGCUCAUUCAGUCGAGGUGGUUUGAUUUUCCCCAUACCACAUAGGCUUUCUUGGGUACAUCAAUUUCCAUUUUUGGUUUUAUUUGGGUGAUAUUACUCUUAUUUUCCCCUUUCUCUUGUUGCGGGGUUGCCCUGGGCUUCCUUUCUUCAUCAGCAAUAGCAAUUAUGGCCUUAAGCGCCGGAUCAAAUUCUUUGUCCUCACAAAUCAUACUAAUUAACGGCCCGUUGUUGUGAGUGGGAAGUGGAUUAUUGGUCACAUUUGAGACAUCCUCAUCCUUCAACAUGAUUCUCCCUUGCUCUAUUAAAUUCUUCACCGCUUGUUUCAGAGUCCAACAGUCAUUUGUAUCGUGCCCUUCUACCCCUAAAUGAUAGGCACAUCUGACACCCCGCUGAUAUGAUGGUGAUUCUGGGUUUUGUCGUUUGGAGGUAUAGGUUGCAACAAAUUCAUCUGGACAAGCUUAGGGAACAAGGUGGAGUAGGGUUCACCGAUUGGUGUAUAGUUGGGUCUCCUGGGUGAUUCCCAUGGACGGAAGUUAUUCUGGGGAAGUCGAGAAUUAUAGUGGUUCUGGUGGGGAGGCUGGUUUCUUGGGAAUGGAGGUUGAUUUCUAUUAGCUUGUGGUUGCGGUCAGCCGAAAGGUUGAGCAUUCAUAACCGCAUAAGGUGGUUGAUCAUAGGCCAUAUCGGGAUGAGGAUAGUGGUGUUGAGGGUUUCUUUCGGAGAAUACUGGUCUAGGGGCCCGGUAUCUUCCUCCCCCAGAUACCACCAUGGUUGUUUCUUCUCUUACCCUAUUCUUUUCCAUUCCUCCAGACCCACCUUGGAUGGCUUGGGAGGUUGCCCUGAUGGCUGACUGACUCAAAAAUCUACCCAUUUUCAAACCAUGUUCUACCAUGUCACCAAUUUUGAUGGCCUCUGCAAAAGGCUUUCCCAUGGCUAACAUCAUAUUCUGAAAGUAUUUGGGCUCUUGGGCUUGCAGGAAGACAGUGACAAAUUCUAUUUCUUCCAUGGGAGGUUUCACCCUUGAUGCUUGCUUGCGCCAUUUGAUAGCGUAUUCUCUGAAACUUUCUGAGGGUUUCUUCUUCAAGUUAGAUAAAGAAUUAUGGUCUGGCGCGAUGUUAAUGUUAUACUGAAACUGCCUUACAAUAUCUCUAGCAAGAUCAUCCCAAAUGUGCCAACGUGAGACGUCUUGAUCCAUAUACCACUCCGAAGCAAUGCCGAUUAAGCUUUCCCCAAAAUAUGCCAUCAACAAUUCUUCUUUGCCACUGGCCCCCCUUAACUGAUUGCAACACUUCUUCAAAUGAGCAAUGGGGUCGCCAUGUCCAUCAUACUUUUCAAAUAUUGGUGUUUUGAACCUUGACGGCAAAUGUACAUGCAGAAACAUACACAAAUCUGUAUAGGAGACACUCUUUUUCCCGCUCAAACCUUGCAUGUUCUUUAAGCUCUGUUCAAGACUUCUCAUUCUCCUGGCCAUCUCAUCUUGCUCUAGAGCUUUAGGGCCUUUGUCUUUCCCCGGUGUAAACUCGUAUGGUGGUGGCUGAGGGAAAGCAUAUGCGGAGUAUGGAGGAAGUUCUGGCUGGUAAGUAGUAGUUUGAUAAGUGAAGGCCGAUGGAUCAAACACAGGCCUUGGGACUGCAGGUUGUGUUGUAGCAGAAGAUGGUGGGCCAUUGAAGAUGUUAGGAGCUAUCUUGGGUAUGAAUGCCUGGGGCCGGACCUCAGAAGUUGCUCCCGCAAAAUGAACGGAUAUAGUAGGUUGUCCUACCGGGACGUUCAGGUGGCUGAUGGGGAUGUUAAAGGCACCCGUUGGUCUUGGGAACAACUCGGUAAAUCCAGGGAUGACACUCGGGGGUUCUUUUCCAUUUUUCCGUUCGUCCCACAUCUCCAUUACCCUCAGACGUAAGAUUAUAUUUUCUUUCGCCACUUCAGAAUCUGAGGCCGGGACGCCCGAGAGUGGGCAAUCUUCUGAAAUAGGGAUUGUUGGCAGGGUCAUUUCUGACGAUAUCUCUGUACUACCUUUAGAUAUGGUAGAGUAGUAGUGCGAAGCCAGUUUACCACAUAACCAACCACCUGUUUCUAUAAAUCUGGGCUCUUAAAAUGACAGCAGUGAACGGUUAGUUUUGAGACAAAUAGGUAAUCACUCAUCAACGACUGGAUGUGUCAUCCCGACUUUUCUUAUGUUUUCCUUGCUUGUUUUUUUUCUGUUUUUCUCAUUUUUCUUCUUUUCUUUUUUUUUUCCAUGGGUUUUCUUCAAUUUUCUUCCGCUCUUUGUUUCUUUUGGUUUUCCUUUAUUUCCUUCCCUCUCUUUUGUUUUACUCUUAUGGCUACGGUCGAAUCUGAUGAGGAUUACCUACGUAUUGCGACCCCGCACGAAUCAGACCAAGCGUAGUUCAUGCAAAUAAGGUAAAGAAACUAACACUUUAUAUGGAUUUUUGAAAGAAAUUCUUUAAGGAAAAUAUUUUGAUUUUGAUUUCUAAUUUUUAUUUUUGUUUUUGAAAGAAAGACUUCAAAUUUUCCUUUCCAAAAUUUGUGUAUUUUCUUUUGUUUUCUAUUUACAAAAGACAUCUAAGGAGUAUUUUAUUGAUAUAUUUGACCUAAAAGGAAAAGUGGUUAUUCUUCAAAAAUUUCUUUGUUUAGAAAAACAGGGACUCUGCUUUGCCGAUACGGCCUUUCAGCACUCUGGAGGAAGAUUUUAAGGUUGUGCCCGCAAACUAUUUACAAAUGACUCAGGGUGGCUGUUCUUGCAAAAACAGCCUUCCGAUGCCUUUUCGGGAACAUUCGGCUUGCUUUAAACAAGAAUGGCAUCACCCGACUUAGUGAUGACAAAAAUUAAAAUUUUAAUAUUUUUUGGGCUAUUUUUGCAAAAUGGAGGUUGGACCCGACGAGGGUUGCCAACGUAUCUCACAUCCAGUGAGAAUCAAACCAGCGUAGUUCGGUAAGAUUGGGAAUAGAUCAAAUUUAUUUUUUGUUGGAAUUUUUGAAAGAAAUGCUUUAAAAGAGGAAAUGAAAUAUAUUUUUUUUUUUAUUUUUGACUUUGAUUUUUGUUUUGCUUUUUUGAAAGAAAGACUUCUGAAAAAUCUUUUUUUUUUAUUUGAACUUGGGAAUUUCAAAAGUAAAAAGAAAAUACUUUUUUUUAAUUUUCAUUUGUUUUACCUUUUUAUAAGGAAGAAAAAAAAUAUUUUUGGAUUUUGGAUAUUGCCUCUUAAUUUUUGAAAGAGGGACUUUUAAGAAAAUAUUUUGGAUUUCUGCGUUUUUAUUUAUUUACAAAAGUACUUCUAAAGAAAAGCGAAAAUAUUUUUUGACUUCAACUUUUCAACAAUUCUUUUUGACAUUUACGUAAGAAAGACUUUUAAACAAGGAAAAGAAUUUUUUCUAUUCUUUUUAUUUUUGAUUUUUUUUUCAAAUUUUCUAAAGAAGGAACAAAGGAAAAUAUAUUUUUGACUUUUUUUAAAAAUUGGGGUCGGAACCGAUGAGGUUUGCCUACGUAUUUGAAAUCAGGUGGGAAUCAGAUCCGUGUAGUUCGGUCAAAUAAGCUAACUAAUUUUGAGACAAUAAAUCUUUUUCAAACCAUUUUUUGACUUUUUGGUAAAUAAACUAAAAAACAUUUUUUCUUUCUUCCAAUUUUCAAAACUUCGGAAGAGUUCCGACGGCACUUCGGCAUUGGGUUUUCUAAACUAAUCAGUUAACUCUCCGAUUUGCUAUUUUUCUAUUUUUUCUCAUUUUUUUAACAUUUUCGAGAUUCAAAAAGCCGGUCAACAUGCAGGCCGAAACAAGUAAAUGCACAGAAAAAUAAGUAUGAUGCAUCAGGAUGGUCUUUUUUAUUUCAGGUUGUUAAUCCAAGACGGACCCAACCCCUGUGUUGAGUCCUCUAAGUCAGAAUCCACAUGAUGCAGAUAAGCGUUCCUACUAGGUAUUCGGCAUAAAGUUGAGUUAUUCUAGGUUCAGAACCUGAGUUUUGUUCUAGACCUGGCUUACCCGAGCGGAUAGCUAGAGCCGAGGGGGAGGCAUCAAUCCCGGAAUACAGAAGCUUCGCCGGCUUUGCAACUUAUCCAAACCUCGUUCUAAAUUGGGAAUUGGACACUAUACAAAAAAGAAGUCGUACGAAGUACACCCUUCUUCAUGAUUUAGAAGGCUCAGAGAGAAGAUGGGAUUCAGCACAAUUUAUAUACAGUUCAAAUAAUAUCAAAGCAGCAAAACAUUUAGCACAUGUAGCAUAAAACAUGUAGGAAAAUCAGAUAAAGCAAAUUACAACAAUUAUUCUAAGCUCGAAUUCUGAACCCUGAACAAAACGUUCUGGGUUCUUUCCCCCAUUCAAGCCGCCAGAGCUGUCACACCUCCUUUUUACACACCUAACCCAAAGGAUAAUGUAUAAGGAAAUUUUUUCAUUUAAAGUAACAUUCUUCGAAUUGGGAUUAUUUAUUUAUUUAGAGUCGCCACUUGGGAUAGGUUUGGCUUUUGGUUUCCCAAGUCACCAGUUUAUCUUGAAUCCCAAAUCGAGUAAAUUUCGACUUCCCAAAUGGAGUCUGCGAACUAGAAAUUCUGAAUAAGGAAUUCUGUUGACCCGAGGGAAGGUGUUAGGCACCCCUGGACCCCGUGGUUCUCGCACGGUUGCUUAAACAAUAAUAAUUGGCUAAAAUCUGAUUUUAAUACAUUUUCAAACUUAUAGUGCAAUUUUAAAUUAUUUACCGCUUUUAAUUAAUUUUAGAAGAUUGAACGUUAUUUAAGAUAUGGUUUCGGAUCACGUUACAUGAAAUGCACCGGGAUCCUCAACAUAUUUUAUUCAACGCUUUGGGGAUUUAGAUUUGGGUCGCAUGAAAUGCACACCAGAAAUUAAGAUGAUAGAUUUAUUAAAAGUACACGCUUAAAGAAACUAUGCAUUUUUGACUUUGCGAGGGCCAUGAAAUUUGCUGCCUCAGUUAUUAAGGAUAAACAAGAUUAAUUAAACGAGGGCCAUGCAAUUGAGAUUUUUGUUCGACACGACACACCUCAAUUCAUUCUAUCAAAAAGUUUCUAAACUAACUCAUGAGGGCCAUUAAUUGUAUACAUGGGUGUUAUUUACAAUGGCAAUUUAUAACAAACAAAAGCUUCAUUUCAAGCAAAAAAUCAAAUAGCAAAUUGCUAAUGACAGCCAACUUGGUGACAAAUUAUACCUCAACUCCCAUGUUAAAUGGACCAAAUUACAAUACAUAAUUGAUUACCAACGUCUCACGUUCUCCAAGAAAACUGGAAAACUCAUUUCCGAAGUUAGUCUCAAGACUACUUGCAACCAUUUUAGGUUUAUUAUUUUGGAUUUAACACUCUUCGAAUAGUAGCACAUGUCAGACAAUUAUGUAAUCAAAGCAGUUUUCUCCUAAAACAAAUAAGGAAGAGUCAACAGGCCAACGAGCAAGCUAUACAGACCUCCUAGAAGGUCUACAUAUGCAGAAAUGCAAAAGAAACUUCAUGAAAAUUCCGUAGAGAUGCCACAGGUAGAAACUUGAUUUCAUAUAUAAAAAUUAUUGAAGAGCAGGUGUUUCUUCUAAAAAACAAUAAAUAACUUAGACAGAUUUGAGCAGCAAAAAUCACUGGACAUCAAAUUCCGAUUAGCAAAAAUCGAGCCAAACUUACAAAAUCACAUAAAGAUUCAACAAUUUAUCACUCAAUACAUACAUAAUACAAUGAAGAUCUGAAACUUACCUAUAUCGAACAACGCAGUGGCGCUAAAGUGAGCCCAAAUAAAGAUCGAAAAUCAAUCCAAGGGGGUUUGACGGCAGUCUAAGUAAUAGAACAACAAUUUCAACAAUCAACCAGCUUUUAGAUCCUGAGAGGAGGAAUUUAAACUUCGAAACUUCAGCAGCCAAGUCCCCUUUUAAAUCUUCUCCAAAAUUCAGUUUUCCUUCUGUUUUGGGGUUUUUGUGAUUUUUAAAUCUGCAUUUUUUGUGUUGACCUUUGAAUUUUAGACCUGUUUUCCAUCGAAUUUGUGUGCAUUUACAAUUUUUCCCUUCGCUUCCUAAAUCACAUGUGUGUGUGAUUUAGAGGAAACUAGAGCAAAAGAUUGUUUUUCUUAUUCUUUUUUUUUACCUGUAACUAAGAAGGAAGAAGAAGCAGGGGUCUGUUUCUUUUUUUAACCC